This 704-nucleotide long non-coding RNA is filed under the name Mytilus galloprovincialis (Mediterranean mussel). Lineage: Eukaryota; Metazoa; Mollusca; Bivalvia; Mytilida; Mytilidae. The record is from RNAcentral.
GGUUUCUCGUGCUUUAUCAUGUCAUAAUUGAUUUGGCCUUUCACUUUUUCCAACUGAUUUCGUUUUUGACGAAACCCCGUGUUUAUUAGCAAUGUUCUUGUUAGAAGGUACGCACACACGUCCGUGCUUUCGAUGGACCUUCCUAAAACACUGGCCGAGUCUUGUUAUCAUAACUUUCCCUCAGCUUUUCAAAAGAAGCAGAAAACAUGCUUCUGUUUAAUAUUUUUACCGGACAUUCACUUUCGUUUUAAUUCAAUGUAUGUUAUGAUAAAUCUCGAGCAAUGCAAAAAAAAUAUGACUAAAUGACACACGCUAAUUGGAUAAACGCAGAGAAGACCGAAAUGUUUUCAAACAACACGUGUACGGAAAACUCCAACAGGGACCCAUUUCAGCUACUUGAUGCAGGGAUCUAUUUUUAGGACGAAAGGAAAUUUCCAAUUAUAAAUAUUAUAAACAUGGAUUUACGACAGAUAAGGGUAAAUAACGCAAACAGUAGCCAAUUAAAGGGUUGAGAACUCAUGGUUUGGGCAUAUAAUUGGGUUUUCCUUUGAAAUAAUUGGGUUAUUGAACCCUGCAAUGGGCAAUUGCAUUGGGUUUUUUAUUAUUUUUAUUGCGUGAUCACGCAAAUACGCAGCUUAUCUGGAGCUCUGAAGUUUCAAUUUAUCUAUAUCAUUUAAAUUAUUUUCUUAAUUGUUCAUUUUUUU